This 2012-nucleotide ribosomal RNA is filed under the name Enterococcus sp. Its description in RNAcentral is "partial 23S ribosomal RNA". It matches the Rfam family "Bacterial large subunit ribosomal RNA", at positions 1 to 2004 of the family's 2925-position model. The record is from RNAcentral. Lineage: Bacteria; Bacillati; Bacillota; Bacilli; Lactobacillales; Enterococcaceae.
UUUUGGUUAAGUUAAUAAGGGCGCACGGUGGAUGCCUUGGCACUAGGAGUCGAUGAAGGACGGCACUAACACCGAUAUGCCCCGGGGAGCUGUAAGUAAGCUUUGAUCCGGGGAUUUCCGAAUGGGGGAACCCACUAUCUUUAAUCGGAUAGUAUCUUCACGUGAAUUCAUAGCGUGUUGAAGACAGACGCAGGGAACUGAAACAUCUAAGUACCUGCAGGAACAGAAAGAAAAUUCGAUUCCCUGAGUAGCGGCGAGCGAAACGGGAAGAGCCCAAACCAAAGAGCUUGCUCUUUGGGGUUGUAGGACACUCUAUACGGAGUUACAAAAGAAUGAACUAGACGAAGCGACUUGGAAAGGUCCGCGAAACGAGGUAAAAGCCCUGUAGUCAAAAGUUCAUUCCCUCCAGAGUGGAUCCUGAGUACGGCGGAACACGUGAAAUUCCGUCGGACUCCGGGAGGACCAUCUCCCAAGGCUAAAUACUACCUAGUGACCGAUAGUGAACCAGUACCGUGAGGGAAAGGUGAAAAGCACCCCGGAAGGGGAGUGAAAUAGAUCCUGAAACCGUGUGCCUACAAGUAGUUAGAGCCCGUUAAUGGGUGAUAGCGUGCCUUUUGUAGAAUGAACCGGCGAGUUACGAUUACGUGCGAGGUUAAGUUGAGAAGACGGAGCCGCAGCGAAAGCGAGUCUGAAUAGGGCGAAUUAGUACGUGGUCGUAGACCCGAAACCAGGUGAUCUACCCAUGUCCAGGGUGAAGGUGAGGUAACACUCACUGGAGGCCCGAACCCACGCACGUUGAAAAGUGCGGGGAUGAGGUGUGGGUAGCGGAGAAAUUCCAAUCGAACCUGGAGAUAGCUGGUUCUCUCCGAAAUAGCUUUAGGGCUAGCCUCGUGAUUGAGAAUACCGGAGGUAGAGCACUGUUUGGACUAGGGGGGCAUCUCGCUUUACCGAAUUCAGACAAACUCCGAAUGCCGGAUAUUUAUACACGGGAGUCAGACUGCGAGUGAUAAGAUCCGUAGUCAAGAGGGAAACAGCCCAGACCACCAGCUAAGGUCCCCAAGUAAUCGUUAAGUGGAAAAGGAUGUGGCGUUGCUUAGACAACCAGGAUGUUGGCUUAGAAGCAGCCAUCAUUUAAAGAGUGCGUAAUAGCUCACUGGUCGAGUGACGCUGCGCCGAAAAUGUAUCGGGGCUAAACGAUUCACCGAAGCUGUGGAUGCAUACUUUGAGUAUGCGUGGUAGGAGAGCGUUCUAACAGCGUUGAAGUCAGACCGGAAGGACUGGUGGAGCGAUUAGAAGUGAGAAUGCCGGUAUGAGUAGCGAAACAUGGGUGAGAAUCCCAUGCACCGUAUGACUAAGGUUUCCUGAGGAAGGCUCGUCCGCUCAGGGUUAGUCGGGACCUAAGCCGAGGCCGAUAGGCGUAGGCGAUGGACAACAGGUUGAUAUUCCUGUACCACCUCCUCACCGUUUGAGAAAUGGGGGGACGCAGUAGGAUAGGGUAAGCACGCCGUUGGUUGCGCGUGUUCAAGCAGUAAGGCGUGUAUGUAGGCAAAUCCGCAUACUAUAACGUUGAGCUGUGAUGACGAGCUCGUAUGAGCGAAGUUCCUGAUUUCACACUGCCAAGAAAAGCCUCUAUCGAGGUGAGAGGUGCCCGUACCGCAAACCGACACAGGUAGUCGAGGAGAGAAUCCUAAGGUGUGCGAGAGAACUCUCGUUAAGGAACUCGGCAAAAUGACCCCGUAACUUCGGGAGAAGGGGUGCUUCUUUGGGUGCAUAGCCUAGAGAAGCCGCAGUGAAUAGGCCCAGGCGACUGUUUAGCAAAAACACAGGUCUCUGCAAAACCGUAAGGUGACGUAUAGGGGCUGACGCCUGCCCGGUGCUGGAAGGUUAAGAGGAGCGGUUAGCGCAAGCGAAGCUGUGAAUUGAAGCCCCAGUAAACGGCGGCCGUAACUAUAACGGUCCUAAGGUAGCGAAAUUCCUUGUCGGGUAAGUUCCGACCCGCACGAAAGGCGUAA